Molecule: small nucleolar RNA, 138 nt
Organism: Tachyglossus aculeatus (Australian echidna)
Lineage: Eukaryota; Metazoa; Chordata; Mammalia; Monotremata; Tachyglossidae
Source: RefSeq, a predicted model, not a curated record
CCCCUCUGAGGAUCACACCUGUAGAGUGUCCAGUCCUCUACCAGUCUCGACUACAGGAGGGAGAGUCAAGCACAGACCUACCCAUUCCAUUCAUAGCUUGGUCAGUAGCUAGCGGGUGGAAGACAAUCUGCUACAAGU